Molecule: ribosomal RNA, 433 nt
Filed under: uncultured bacterium
Lineage: Bacteria
Description: partial 16S ribosomal RNA
Rfam family: Bacterial small subunit ribosomal RNA
Source: RNAcentral
AGCGAACGCUGGCGGCAGGCCUAACACAUGCAAGUCGAACGAACUCUUCGGAGUUAGUGGCGGACGGGUGAGUAAGACGUGGGAACGUGCCUUUAGGUUCGGAAUAACUCAGGGAAACUUGUGCUAAUACCGAAUGUGCCCUUCGGGGGAAAGAUUUAUCGCCUUUAGAGCGGCCCGCGUCUGAUUAGCUAGUUGGUGAGGUAAAGGCUCACCAAGGCGACGAUCAGUAGCUGGUCUGAGAGGAUGAUCAGCCACAUUGGGACUGAGACACGGCCCAAACUCCUACGGGAGGCAGCAGUGGGGAAUCUUGCGCAAUGGGCGAAAGCCUGACGCAGCCAUGCCGCGUGAAUGAUGAAGGUCUUAGGAUUGUAAAAUUCUUUCACCGGGGACGAUAAUGACGGUACCCGGAGAAGAAGCCCCGGCUAACUUCGUG